UGAGUCCAAAACAGCACGUCUGCAACC
RNAcentral lists this non-coding RNA (27 nucleotides) under Mus musculus (house mouse). The record is from RNAcentral. Lineage: Eukaryota; Metazoa; Chordata; Mammalia; Rodentia; Muridae.